Molecule: long non-coding RNA, 396 nt
Organism: Priapulus caudatus
Lineage: Eukaryota; Metazoa; Priapulida; Priapulimorpha; Priapulimorphida; Priapulidae
Exons: 3
Source: RefSeq, a predicted model, not a curated record
CACGUAAACGCGAGGUACCUUGGUGAAGACCACUGGUGAACUUUCUACAUGUGAACACUUACAAUACACAUGAUAAUGAAAACUAAUUGUCAAUCGCCAGGCUGGAGGACACGGAGAAUUCUCACAUUUUCGACGCAACGUCGUGAAACGAUUGAGAGGUUACCGAUCUGCAGUUGAACAUAUUAAGAAGUGCACAGAGCUACACUGCGAAUCGCCUCGCUGUAACCAGAUGAAUAGGGCCUAUAGGGACUAGAGAGGACACGGAGAAUCGACACGAUUUUGAAGCGACAUCGAGCAGCAAUUGAGUGGUUACCGAUCUCUAGUUAAACAUACCAACAGGAGCCAUUGCGAAAAAUUAACGAAAAUUACGUAAAUUAUUAAAAACAGAUCAUUCGU